CCCAGUCCUGGAACCAUAUUAUUUUACCUUCUGCCCAGCCCUAAAAUCAACCAGCCCUAAAUGAAACAAGUGUAGAUUUAGACUGGCUGGGGCUCCUUUACAAUUUAAAUAUAGUUGCUUGUUUCUAUCAAAACUAUAUUUUUUCAGAGACUCACAGUUUUCCAAGGGAAAAAUAGAGUGACAUACUGGAAUAAUGUGUAAUAAAUCAUUCUCAGAUUUGACAAAAUACUACUGCUCUCAGUCCCCUCUACAACACACCUGGAACCAACCAUACAGCUGACAAGUGAACCACAAGAACAUCAAUUCCCACGUUCCGUCUCCACUGACACUACAAACAUUCCUGCCUCCUGGAGCAGAGCAUCUUCCUGAUCUAACACCCUUCCAUCAGCUCCGGGAGUAAACAAGCAAAUGUCAGAAUGUCCCUGGCACAAUGUGCUUCACAGGAGAAUGCAUGUUCCAUCACGACGAGGCAGCUUGACGUGGAAGGAAAGCCAAAGUGAUGCAGGUCUCAGACAGGCAUGGUGCUGACAAACCAAGAAACAAAAGGCAAAUCUGGGAUUCAAACCAAUGAUUAAGUUUCUGACACACCUACAGGACAAGCAAAUUUUGUCAGCCCAGAUAACUGUGCCACCCCUGUACCGCCCACCUUAGAGAUACAACAGACCUACGAAGUUACAGACUAUUUACAGACAUCAGCAGCACUGAAGUGGUAUAUAUAUCUGCCUGCCUGGCAGUUGAUUCUACCACCUGCCUUUGGCAGUGUAGGUACAAAAAUGGACCUGGGCUUCCAAAGGACUGCUUACUGUCGGCAUGUAUGUACAAAACUUCAGCUGAAUACCCUAUACAUUUCAACUCAUCAUUAUGUAAGCCGAGUAGACAACACAGCAUUCAACGUUUAGAGAUUGCUAUUACCCGGACACUGUAUACUGAUUUUAACCUUUA
This is a long non-coding RNA of Haliotis rufescens (red abalone), 942 nucleotides long. RefSeq lists it as uncharacterized. The transcript has 4 exons. The record is from RefSeq and is a predicted model, not a curated record. Lineage: Eukaryota; Metazoa; Mollusca; Gastropoda; Lepetellida; Haliotidae.